AUCGCCCGGGAACUACGAGCAAAGCUUAAAACCCAAAGGACUUGACGGUACCCCACAUCCACCUAGAGGAGCCUGUCCUAUAAUCGAUAACCCCCGCUUAACCUCACCAUUUUUAGCCUAUCAGCCUGUAUACCUCCGUCGCCAGCUUACCACGUGAGCGACCCUCAGUGAGCUUAAUGUUUAUACACCAACACGUCAGGUCAAGGUGCAGCAGAUAAAAUGGGAAGAGAUGGGCUACACUCUCUAUUCUAGAAAAUACGGAAGACUAUUUAUGAAACCUAGUCAAAAGGCGGAUUUAGUAGUAAAAAGAGACAAGAGUGCUCUUUUUAACAUGGCACUGGGGUGUGUACACACCGCCCGUCACCCUCUUCAAAGCUAAUAUAAAGUCCUUAACACACCUAAGCACUACAGAAGAGGCAAGUCGUAACAUGGUAAGUAUACCGGAAGGUGUGCUUGGAAA
RNAcentral lists this ribosomal RNA (460 nucleotides) under Osteocephalus yasuni. Its description in RNAcentral is "partial 12S ribosomal RNA". It matches the Rfam family "Bacterial small subunit ribosomal RNA", at positions 868 to 1522 of the family's 1533-position model. The record is from RNAcentral. Lineage: Eukaryota; Metazoa; Chordata; Amphibia; Anura; Hylidae.